GACGAACGCUGGCGGCGUGCCUAAUACAUGCAAGUCGAGCGCAGGAAGCCGUCUGAACCCUUCGGGGGGACGACGGUGGAGUGAGCGGCGGACGGGUGAGUAACACGUAAAGAACCUGCCCAUAGGUCUGGGAUAACCACGAGAAAUCGGGGCUAAUACCGGAUGUGUCAUCGGACCGCAUGGUCCGAUGAUGAAAGGCGCUCCGGCGUCGCCCAUGGAUGGCUUUGCGGUGCAUUAGCUAGUUGGUGAGGUAACGGCCCACCAAGGCGACGAUGCAUGGCGGACCUGAGAGGGUGAUCGGCCACACUGGGACUGAGACACGGCCCAGACUCCUACGGGAGGCAGCAGUAGGGAAUCUUCCACAAUGGACGAAAGUCUGAUGGAGCAACGCCGCGUGAGCGAUGAAGGCUUUCGGGUCGUAAAGUUCUGUUGUAAGGGAAGAACAAGUGCCGCAGGCAAUGGCGGCACCUUGACGGUACCUUGCGAGAAAGCCUCGGCUAACUACGUGCCAGCAGCCGCCGUAA
RNAcentral lists this ribosomal RNA (524 nucleotides) under uncultured bacterium. RNAcentral describes it as "partial 16S ribosomal RNA". It matches the Rfam family "Bacterial small subunit ribosomal RNA", at positions 28 to 523 of the family's 1533-position model. The record is from RNAcentral.